This is a long non-coding RNA of Chelonia mydas (Green sea turtle), 481 nucleotides long. RefSeq lists it as uncharacterized. Lineage: Eukaryota; Metazoa; Chordata; Testudines; Cheloniidae. The transcript has 2 exons. The record is from RefSeq and is a predicted model, not a curated record.
AUGCCAAAAUAUCUGAAAAAAUCUCCAAGGGCAUGAAGGACAGAGGCUAUAACAGGGACCCACAGCAGUGCCACGUGAAACUUAAGGAGCUCAGGCAAGCCUACCAAAGAACCAGAGAGGCAAACGGCCACUGCGGGUCAGAGCCCUAGACAUGACACUUCUGUGAUGAGCUGCAUGCCAUUCUAGGGGGUGCCCCUACAACUACCCCAGCCCUGUGCAGGGACUCUGUCAAUGGACUCUCACGCAACAGGGAUGCAGGUUUUGGGGACGAGGAAGAUGAUGAUGAUGAGGAGAUUGAAGCACAGCAAGAAAGUGGAGAAACCAUUUUACCCGACAGCCAGGAACUGUUUUCCACCCUGGAUCUAGUACCUUCCCAACCCACAGAAGGCGGGCUCCCGGACCUAGAAGGAGGAGAAGGGACCUCUGCUGCAGAUGUUUCAUCGCUCCACAUAUCAUCUCCGUACCAGAGGCUAUCAAAGAA